AGCAGCCGCGGUAAUUCCAGCUCCAAUAGCGUAUAUUAAAGUUGUUGCAGUUAAAAAGCUCGUAGUUGAAUUUCGGGGUCAGUAGGUCGGUCGUGCCACUGGUAUGCACUGGUCUCACUGGUUCCUCCUUCCUGAUGAACCGUAAUGCCAUUAAUUUGGUGUUGCGGGGAAUCUGGACUGUUACUUUGAAAAAUUAGAGUGUUUAAAGCAGGCUAACGCUUGAAUACAUUAGCAUGGAAUAAUGAAAUAGGAGGAUCGAUCCUAUUUUGUUGGUUUCUAGGAUUGACGUAAUGAUUAAUAGGGAUAGUUGGGGGCAUUAGUAUUCAAUUGUCAGGGGUGAAAUUCUUGGAUUUAUUGAAGACUAACUACUGCGAAAGCAUUUGCCAAGGAUGUUUUCAUUAAUCAAGAACGAAAGUUAGGGGAUCGAAGACGAUCAGAUACCGUCGUAGUCUUAACCAUAAACUAUGCCGACU
This 473-nucleotide ribosomal RNA is filed under the name uncultured Glomus. RNAcentral describes it as "SSU rRNA". It matches the Rfam family "Eukaryotic small subunit ribosomal RNA", at positions 569 to 1047 of the family's 1831-position model. Lineage: Eukaryota; Fungi; Glomeromycota; Glomeromycetes; Glomerales; Glomeraceae. The record is from RNAcentral.